Long non-coding RNA from Bos taurus (domestic cattle), 1191 nucleotides. NCBI's taxonomy places the organism in Eukaryota, Metazoa, Chordata, Mammalia, Artiodactyla, Bovidae. The record is from Ensembl.
UAUAUGAAGCUUUUGUGCGUCGGGGCCCGGCAGCCGCGGCGGCCCCGCUCCCCGGCUGACUCUCUUUACAGUGGAAACGUACAGUAAUUAACACGGGUUCCGCUCCCGCCAGCGCCCGGAGUUGAAGGGGGCCGCCGCCUCCGCGCGCCUGGGAACCCGGGCCCGCCGCAGAGGCCCGCAUUUGUCCACCUGAGAACGCCGCGGCGCAUUUGUAAACCUUGGCCCCGCGGCCCGAGAGCCAUCCAUUUUGGCUCCGAGAUGCCGGGCUGUCUGGGCGCGCGGUGGCCCCCGCAUGUGUUGCUAAUAAAAGUCAAGCGCGUUCCUUUACCCCGCGAGCUCGCGGCAGGGGGCACCACCCGGGCCGGGGGAGGAAGCCCCGGGGCCAGCCCAGUGUCAGCACUAGAGGGAUGCAAUGUUCAGUUUUGAGCUCUGUAAGAAGGAAAGCAGUGUAUUAGACCAGUAAUCACUGAAGUAAAUCGGCUCCUGCCUGUGUUUGAGCGUCACGGUGAGCAAGGUGUCCGGAAUGGAGUUCAGAAUGCUCCUUGGGAGGUGAUGUACAAAGAAAUCGAGUUCCAGAGAGGUUGCGUGCCUGGCCCCAGAGUCGGUGGAGCGAAGGCUUGAACCCAGCAGCACUGACCUGGAGGCCCUGUCUGUCUGGACCCCCUCGGAAGCCCUUUGGCUCCUUUGGAGUGUUCAGUAACCUGCAGGAUUCUGUGCCACGCUUUUCCAUUUGUUUCAAGAGUUCUUCCUUCAUACUUCCCUCUACCUGGAAAAGGAAGACUAAUGCUGAAUAGUCCUCUUUCCUAUCCCAUUCUCUUCAAUGUGAAUAUAGGACAACCGAAAAGAACGUUGUAAAACGGAACAGUUGGCAGCUCCUGGGUGUGGUGGUUUUUUCUUGCUUUAUCCCAUCUGCUUGCUUUGCCUGAGGAGUUGAUGAAUCAGUUGGACACCUGUGAAGCCAAUCUUUGUGGAAGAGGUGAAAUUGUAGUCAGUACUCACCCACCACCAUCACCACCACCCCGCCACCUGCCAGGAUUCACCUCCUAAGGCUGCACAAAUAUUAUCCUCCCCUGACCUCCAAUCUGCCAGCUACAGUGACUGACUUAAUCCCUAAGUCCUUUAAAAAUUAAAUUGUGUGUACUUUAACUUGAAUUUUCUGUCUGGGGCGGAAGUCUCAACCCUUCUGAGAAG